This 644-nucleotide long non-coding RNA is filed under the name Mytilus galloprovincialis (Mediterranean mussel). Lineage: Eukaryota; Metazoa; Mollusca; Bivalvia; Mytilida; Mytilidae. The record is from RNAcentral.
UCGGGUUUGUAAUAAAAUGAUCAACACGACGGGGGCCACACGUGGAGCAGGACCUGACUACCUUUCCGGAGCACUGAGAUCACCAAAACUAAUUGUGGGUUUCCUGUUGCUUAAUCUUCAGUGUUCUAUGUUGUGUCGUGUGUACCAUUAUUUGUCUGUUUGGUAUUUUUUUUUCUUUUUAGCCAUGGCGUUGUCAGAUUACUUUUUCGAUCUAUGAGUUUAAAUGUCCCUCUGGUAUCUUUCACCCCUCUUCAAAACAGCAUUAUUACAAGAAAAUGCAGACAUGUCUGUACUUAAUGAAAACAAAAUUCAUUUAAUUAAAGAAAUAAAGCGAGUACAAUUUUUAUUAAAAUGUGAUUUUAAACGAAACAGAUAACAAAGUUUUCAAAUGGUGAAAAACUUUAACUACUUGCUGUGUUUAAAAUGUUAGAAUAAAAUCUCUGUAAUAAAGUCUGUGUGUUUUAUGUGAUGUGCCAAAAUAUAUUAUCAUUUAUCAUGAAACAAUGGAAUUAAACAAAAAUGAAAUAUCUGUCACCAAUAUUUCCUUAUGGUAUGUGUAAAUAAUAACUUGUCUUUUUAUUCACUUCUUUUUUUAUUUGAUAUUAUUGAACUUUGACGAUUUUAAAUUUCUCUUCCUCAAAAAA